RNAcentral lists this ribosomal RNA (74 nucleotides) under Chrysanthemum indicum. Lineage: Eukaryota; Viridiplantae; Streptophyta; Magnoliopsida; Asterales; Asteraceae. The record is from RNAcentral.
GUCACCCAAGCCAGUACUACUCUCGCCCAAGCACGCUUAACUGCGGAGUUCUGAUGGGAUCCGGUGCAUUAGUG